GGAACAUUGGACAAUGGGCGAAAGCCUGAUCCAGCAAUGCCGCGUGAGUGAUGAAGGCCUUAGGGUUGUAAAGCCCUUUUACCCGGGAUGAUAAUGACAGUACCGGGAGCAUAAGCCCCGGCUAACUCCGUGCCAGCCGCCGCGGUAAUACGGAGGGGGCUAGCGUUGUUCGGAAUUACUGGGCGUAAAGCGCGCGUAGGCGGCAUUGUAAGUUAGAGGUGAAAGCCCGGAGCUUAACUCCGGAACUGCCUUUAAGACUGCAUCGCUAGAAUCGUGGAGAGGUGAGUGGAAUUCCGAGUGUAGAGGUGAAAUUCGUAGAUAUUCGGAAGAACACCAGUGGCGAAGGCGACUCACUGGACACGUAUUGACGCGGAGGUGCGAAAGCGUGGGGAGCAAAC
RNAcentral lists this ribosomal RNA (398 nucleotides) under uncultured bacterium. RNAcentral's name for it is "bacterial SSU rRNA". It matches the Rfam family "Bacterial small subunit ribosomal RNA", at positions 358 to 773 of the family's 1533-position model. The record is from RNAcentral.